GGAUUGCCCCAGUAACGGCGAGUGAAGCGGCAACAGCUCAAAUUUGAAAUCUGGCUCCCCAGGGGCCCGAGUUGUAAUUUGCAGAGGAUGCUUUCGGCGCGGCGCCUUCCGAGUGCCCUGGAACGGGACGCCAAAGAGGGUGAGAGCCCCGUCUGGUCGGACGCCAAGCCGGUGUAAAGCUCCUUCGACGAGUCGAGUAGUUUGGGAAUGCUGCUCUAAAUGGGAGGUAUAUGUCUUCUAAAGCUAAAUACCGGCCAGAGACCGAUAGCGCACAAGUAGAGUGAUCGAAAGAUGAAAAGCACUUUGAAAAGAGGGUUAAACAGUACGUGAAAUUGUUGAAAGGGAAGCGCUUGUGACCAGACUUGCGCCCGGCGGAUCAUCCGGCGUUCUCGCCGGUGCACUUCGCCGGGCGCAGGCCAGCAUCAGCUCGCCGCGGGGGACAAAGGUAGCGGGAACGUGGCUCCCCCGGGAGUGUUAUAGCCCGCUGCGCAAUGCCCUGCGGCGGACUGAGGUUCGCGCUCCGCAAGGAUGCUGGCGUAA
This 540-nucleotide ribosomal RNA is filed under the name Metarhiziopsis microspora. Its description in RNAcentral is "eukaryotic LSU rRNA". It matches the Rfam family "Eukaryotic large subunit ribosomal RNA", at positions 72 to 634 of the family's 3401-position model. Lineage: Eukaryota; Fungi; Ascomycota; Sordariomycetes; Hypocreales; Clavicipitaceae. The record is from RNAcentral.